Molecule: ribosomal RNA, 444 nt
Filed under: uncultured bacterium
Lineage: Bacteria
Description: bacterial SSU rRNA
Rfam family: Bacterial small subunit ribosomal RNA
Source: RNAcentral
GAUGAACGCUGGCGGCGCGCCUAACACAUGCAAGUCGAACGGCACCUGCCUUCGGGCAGAAGCGAGUGGCGAACGGCUGAGUAACACGUGGAGAACCUGCCCCCUCCCCCGGGAUAGCCGCCCGAAAGGACGGGUAAUACCGGAUACCCCGGGGUGCCGCAUGGCACCCCGGCUAAAGCCCCGACGGGAGGGGAUGGCUCCGCGGCCCAUCAGGUAGACGGCGGGGUGACGGCCCACCGUGCCGACAACGGGUAGCCGGGUUGAGAGACCGACCGGCCAGAUUGGGACUGAGACACGGCCCAGACUCCUACGGGAGGCAGCAGUGGGGAAUCUUGCGCAAUGGGGGGAACCCUGACGCAGCGACGCCGCGUGCGGGACGGAGGCCUUCGGGUCGUAAACCGCUUUCAGCAGGGAAGAGUCAAGACUGUACCUGCAGAAGAAGCC